AGGAUCACGGUGUGGCAAGGUAGGUUUCAUUCUGUGGCCACUCUCCUUGGCGCGUAAGUGGACACCCUCUCCCUGGGUGCCCACACGGCAGAGACAGAGAGAGAGCAAGCUCUUGGGAGUCUUUUCCUAUAAAGGCACUAAUCCCAUCGUGAGGGCCUCAUCAUCAUGGCCUAAUCACCCUUACCCAAAGACCAUCACGUCGUGGACGAGGGCUUCAGCAUGUGGAUUCUGGGGGCAGAAACAUUCAGUCCACGGCACUAGCUGAGUGAUCUGAAUUAUCACAGCAUCAAAGGCUCAUGCACUUGGACGCGGUGGGGAAAACAGCCAGCCUGAGUCAGUGUAAAGUCCAAGUUCUAGAAACUUUAAGGAAUGCUGUUUAACAUGCAAUAACCAGCGUUAUGUCCAUCAGGAAACACCAGCUGGAGUGAGGCAGGUCGCUGUGUAUUCCAUGGCCUUGGAGUCACCCUGUCUUAUCAAGCAGACAUGAAAGAUAAUUAUUCUAAUCAGCUAAUGAUCAAAUCAACUGAGAAAUGGAAUAUUUCCUGCCAUAUCAGUAAACAAAGGACGUCACAGUCAUUGGAGAUCGCAGCCACCUCUGAUGGUGAGCUGGUGAGCCCUGAGGGAACUCAGGAAGGGAAAGAAUACCUGCCACCUAGCAGCCAUCACACUGCAGCCACUCCCCAAGGUCUCAGUUGAGAUGUCCCUGCCCCAGAAGCCUUCCUCAGUGUCCCAAGACUGGCCUGGUCCCUCUCCUGUGUGCUUCCCUGGCAGGCUGUGCUUUUCCUAAACCUCCAGGGAUUAUGUUUUAUUUACCUUCCUAUUUCCGCGGCUGUUGAAACCUGGUGCACAGCUGAUGCUCAGUAAAUGUCGUCUGGAUGUAUUUCUUUCAAGUCAGGAGAGAAUUAAGAUGACGAAAACGCCACUGCUGCGAUCACUGUGAGUCUGUGAAAAAUGUGGAGAUUACGAAGGGCCCCUGAGUGCCUGGGAUUGGAAGCUGAGAUGUGCACGGCCUGGCUUCUUCUCUGCACCUACACAGGUGCGUGCAGGGCAGGGAGGGAGGGGCAGUCAGGUCACAGCAGGAUCCGGGCAUCCCUGGGUCUCCCCAUCGAGAUGCCAUCACCACACCUCCCUGAUGACCAUGCCAGCUGUAAUACCUACCAUGGAGGAGAGUCCGCAUCAGAGAAAAGGAAGGGAGAGCGGCCGAGAGCAGGACGGACCUCUUCCCACCAGUGCUUGGAGUGGCCCCCAGGGAGGAGCUUCAGCCCCCACAUCCAUCCUGCCGGAAUAAAAAGUAUAAGGGGGAGAAAGAGAAGAAGAAGAGGCCUCACCACUUACGUUUUCAAGGUUAAGCCCGAUUCAAAACUGACCCUCGCAGGCCACGCCCCCUUUUCCUGUGGCUGGAUCCUUGCUAAGAGGUCGGGGAGGGUGACAGCACGGAGGGUCGGGGCUCGUGGGGCAGAGGCCUGGCCAGUCUUGUUCAGCUCUCCUAUCCCAAGAGCUGAACCCUGAUCCUGACAUAAGGGCGGCCCAGAGUUAAUAUUUGUUGCAAUUUUGAGUGAAUGAAUGUCCUCUUUCUCCUGAAGGCUGACAGAGACCUCUGACCACAGAUUGAUUACUUGAGUUUUGCCUAAAUGGCUUUCCUUCACCCUGACUUGACGCCUUCCAUUCACAGCACAAGUAAGGUUACUCAUUCAUGUUAAACACAAGAAAAUUACAGAGCUGCAGGUCAGCAUCUCUGGAGAGAUUCUAAACAAUUCUAAAGAUUCUAAACGCGAUGGGAGUCUCUCUGCCUGCCCUGUAUACAUAGCAGAUCCGUUGAUACGGUUCCCAGGCUGCUAGCAGGCAUCAAAUCCGAUGUCACGCACACACACUUUUCCGUACAAGGGGUGUUUGCACAACAGUACCUGAAGGCAGGAAAAAGCAAAUUCAUUGUGUGACAUGAAAGGUCCACUUCAUAUUCAUCAUUGGGUGUGUGUGCGUGCAUGUGUGUGUGCGUGUGUGUGCGUGUGCAUGUGUGUGCGUGCAUGCGUGUGUGUGUGCGUGCAUGUGUGUGCAGGUCGUCCACCUCACGAAGGUCUUGGUGAACAGAGUCAUCUUGGGCCCCAGUCAUGGGUACUGUGUUCCUGCCCCAUUUACAGGGGUCACUUCCCCUCCUUUCACUUAUUUUUCCCUCUUUGCUUCUCAUGUUCAUGUUCCCUCUUUUCCUUUCAUUUUAAUUGUUCUUUCUCCUUUUCUCUAUUCUGUUUCCCUUUCUUUUUACUUUCAGGUCUGGUCUGGAAUUCCCUGUUUGCCCCCCUCUUCUGUAAACCCACACGAAGCUCGACCGUGAGGGGGAGUCUCCACUGUACUUUGGUUUGAGCCUGUUUAAGACACCCACUUCCCGUGAAGGGCCAGGGAUGUCCUGCCUGACGUUAUGUCGAGGUGGAGCUAUUUGUUUUAUCAUCGGUUCUUCCCACUGGCAUUAGAAGCUACGCGGGGGCACUUUCUUGAGCUGUGCCUGAUACGUGUAGAAACUGAAGAGUAUUUGUGGAAUAAAUGAAUAGACACCGAACGUCUGUGUAGGUAGAACAGGGUACGUUUCACAACUUGAUGUAAACAGUUGUCUCCACUUGCGCCAGCUGAAAUGAGGACCCCAGGGGCUUUGCAAAGACGGGCUGAAUCUCCUGAAAGCAAAAGCCUUACAUUCCUUUCCACUCUACCCCCAGGGACUUGCUGGGAUUUCUCCAAAUCCACAAUGUGUUGUUGUGCCAGGCCCUGACUGUUUAUCUCCGUGAUGAAUACUUAAUACAAAUGGCAAGCCAUCCCGAGGGCAGCUGGCAUCCAUACCCACUGAGAAGGCCAGCAGUGGAGUGUGAAACACUGACGUCAGAGGCCAUUAAUGCAAAUGAGAGCAAACACUGUUCAUCAAGGUCUGAUGUGUGUCUCCAGGUGGGCCGACCACUGUGCCACCUGUUUACAGACACAUGCUGCUAGCCAGCCGGUAAAAGCCUGUGAGAUCUGUGUUUCUGCAUUAGAUUAGUCUCAAUUAGUAAAGCUAAUGUGUGCAGGAAUAUUGAACAUUUUAUUUUAAUGGAAAGCGUCCUGCUGGGUGAGAAGUAUGGUUUCUAUCUGGAGCCCCUUUUUUUAGCACAAGCUGUUGGUUCCCUGUCUUGAAAGGUUAAUCACAGGUUUAUUGCAAUCAAAACACUGAUGUCUACUUUUUUUUUUUGCAUUUCUUACAAAUCGUUAAAAACCUUGAUAUUCAUUUCCUCAGUGAUGAAGCUCCAUCAGGAAGGUAAUGACCUAAUUUGUGAGUUUGAAUUUUAUCUUGUCUUCUGUUGAAGCAACAGAAGGGAAGUUGCUUCCUCAUGAAUGUUUUCUAUGGUGUGAAUAGUUUCCAUACAAAUAAAACAGGAAAUACAACCAGGCAGCAGCGGUGAUGGCCUCAUACUCCUUGCUCUCUCAUUCCUGUACAGUUGGCUCUGUUUUAUUAUUGUGCCUGCGGCCUGGUUUCCGGGGGAGGCCCUGUGUAAUGGAAUGCCGGUCGAAUUCCAGCUCCCUGUGAUUUAGCGGGCAGCUUUGUUCUCGAGAGGACUAGACACAGGUAAUGAGAAACUACAUUUUAUUUACCGGCUGAUGUUUCUGUGUUGAUUUUUACGGGGGUUUAGGUUUUCAGCCAUCACUAAACUUCACAGAACUAGCGACUCAUAACUUCACAUCUUCCCAAGGGUCAUCACAGUGAGAGGCUGAUAGGCGGGAUGUGACAGGUAGAAAUACACGUCAAGUAUAUGGCCAUCAAAAGAGAAUAUCUCAGUAUUCAAGUUCAAGAUAAAAUUAAAUUUAAAAAAUCAAGAUAAAAUCAAAUGUCAUAAAUCAAAGAUAACCUUUUAUUCUCAUCCAUCAUAUUAUGAAAAUAAUAAUGAUUCCUGGUUGUGUUUAUCAAAAAAAGAUGUAAAAAGUGAAAAAAAGUAGUCUGAUGCUGGAGCUCAGGAGGGCGUGCAAGAGAAAAGCGAUGCGGUGAGCCCCUGGGCUCAGGGUUCCUGGACGUAUUAGACCCCAAUCCACUGCUCUUUGUCGAUGGACUCACAUUUCAGUUGUGGAUUUGACUCCCUGACCUGUAAGCAUCUCUAUUCUUUGACAUACUACAGGGGACGCAGUGGGCAGCAAAGGACAUGUGACAGUGGGUCUCAACUGUGGUUCUCUGGUUCUUACCAAGGUCCCCAGACUCAUAUGUUGAGACUAUAAUGGCCAGUGUGGUGGUGCUGGGAGAUGUGGCCUUCGAGAGGUGAGUAGGUCACGAGGGAGGAGCUCUCCUGAUGGGAUCAGCGCCCUUGCAAGGAGGAGAGAGCUGGUUUUCUGCCUCUCUGGUCUCUGCCAUGCGAGGACACAGAGAGAAGCGGGCAGUGUGCAAGCCGGGGAGAGAGCCCUCCCCUGAAGCCCAGUCCACUAGCACCUGGGUCUUGAACUUCCAGCCUCCUGAUCUGUCCUACAGCAUUUGUUAUGGCAGCCCUAGCUGACUAUGGGGUCCCACAUCCCAGAAGCACCUGGCCUGGUAGAAUCUUGCGUGGCCCACAGCGGGUUCAGUUAUGGGAGAGUUGGGGGUGAGUUUGCACACUUACCCGUGUGGUAAAUGCUCUGUACGAGUGGAAAACACACGGUGUUAUCCACCAUGGACCCAGAGGUGGGAAUGGCCCCUCUCACUGUCCUAGCUGUUAGCCCACUGGAAGAAUGUUCGAUUCCUUCCCACACCUUGGACUUGUGUGUGUGUGUGUGUGUGUGUGUGUGUGUGUGUAGGAUCUGACCCCUAGGGAGGAACUCGUCCACCCAGGAAUAUGACCGUCCUUUCCUUGAGCUGGAAGCUGAGACCAUCUCCUGGCCGUUUCGGCUUCUUCGGCUAUUGAACCAACAGAGAGAGAAGAGGGUGUGGCUGUGAUGACUGUGGGGUCGAUCUCAGUUACUGAAGGAAAGUUACGUUUCUGUUAUACAGUUUACACGAGGAGGACCAUGCCUGGGUCAGCGCUUUACUGGGGAGUCUCUUAUUACUGCCUCGUCGAAAAGUGCUGGUCUGUGAAAACCUGCGGCCUACCCAAAAAUCAGACCUGCAAGGAUUCAAAUACCAAAAGAAUAAAGGUUUGAUGCAUCCUGCUGGGCAAACAGUCCCACACAGCUACAGUGCAGGAAAAGACAGAGAGCAAAGAUUGGGUGUGAGAAUAUGGAGCUCUACACCAACUUACGCUUCAUGAACAGCUAUAGAAUUGGGGCUCCCAGAGCUUUGCUUCCUGUUAAUUAACUUUAUUCCCCCCCUCUGUCCCCCUGCUACUAGUAGUGACUUUUAGAUUUCAAAUGUAAGUAUGACAGAAUCAACAUUACCUCGAGAAACCCCUGUCAGCGUUGCUAACUACCCCAGGGACUUUGCUGUACCUCAGGGUUUCCCUGCACCCUACCCACAACCUUUAAAUAUUCGCUUACCUAUGCUCUCCUAAAAUUACCCAGUUUGAGUGUGUUGCAUCUUUCCUGCUUGGAUUUUAAUUAAUAUACCCUUUAAAUAAAUAAUUCAAGAUUCUUUAAAAAUUUUUUUCUGAUGCAUGUUUCAUCACAAUUA
This is a long non-coding RNA of Delphinapterus leucas (beluga whale), 5581 nucleotides long. RefSeq lists it as uncharacterized. Lineage: Eukaryota; Metazoa; Chordata; Mammalia; Artiodactyla; Monodontidae. The record is from RefSeq and is a predicted model, not a curated record.